UACGGAGGAUCCGAGCGUUAUCCGGAUUUAUUGGGUUUAAAGGGUGCGUAGGCGGAAAUGUAAGUCAGUGGUGAAAUCCUGCAGCUUAACUGUAGAAUAGCCGUUGAAACUGUGUUUCUUGAGUACAUUUGAGGUAGGCGGAAUGUGGUGUGUAGCGGUGAAAUGCAUAGAUAUGCCACAGAACACCGAUUGCGAAGGCAGCUUACUAAACUGUCACUGACGCUGAUGCACGAAAGCGUGGGUAUCAAACAGGAUUA
Molecule: ribosomal RNA, 257 nt
Filed under: uncultured prokaryote
Description: partial 16S ribosomal RNA
Rfam family: Bacterial small subunit ribosomal RNA
Source: RNAcentral